UUAAAUCAGUUAUCGUCUAUUUGAUAGUACCUUACUACUCGGAUAACCGUGGUAAUUCUAGAGCUAAUACGUGCUGAAAACCCCGACUUCGGAAGGGGUGUAUUUAUUAGAUUAAAAGCCAAUGCCCCCCGGGGCCCCUUGGUGAUUCAUGAUAACUCCUCGAAUCGCACGGCCUUGCGCCGGCGAUGGUUCAUUCAAAUUUCUGCCCUAUCAACUUUCGACGGCUGGGUCUUGGCCAGCCGUGGUGACAACGGGUAACGGAGGGUUAGGGCUCGACCCCGGAGAAGGAGCCUGAGAAACGGCUACUACAUCCAAGGAAGGCAGCAGGCGCGCAAAUUACCCAAUCCCGACGCGGGGAGGUAGUGACAAUAAAUACUGAUACAGGGCUCUUUCGGGUCUUGUAAUUGGAAUGAGUACAAUUUAAUUCCCUUAACGAGGAACAAUUGGAGGGCAAGUCUGGUGCCAGCAGCCGCGGUAAUUCCAGCUCCAAUAGCGUAUAUUAAAGUUGUUGCAGUUAAAAAGCUCGUAGUUGAACCUUGGGCCUGGCUGGCCGGUCCGCCUCACCGCGUGCACUGGUCCGGCCGGGCCUUUCCCUCUGGGGAACCGCAUGCCCUUCGCUGGGCGUGCCGGGGAACCAGGACGUUUACUUUGAAAAAAUUAGAGUGUUCAAAGCAGGCUUAUGCUCGGAUACAUUAGCAUGGAAUAAUGGAAUAGGACGUGCGGUUCUAUUUUGUUGGUUUCUAGGACCGCCGUAAUGAUUAAUAGGGACAGUCGGGGGCAUCCGUAUUCAGUUGUCAGAGGUGAAAUUCUUGGAUCUACUGAAGACGAACUACUGCGAAAGCAUUUGCCAAGGAUGUUUUCAUUAAUCAGGAACGAAAGUUAGGGGAUCGAAGACGAUCAGAUACCGUCGUAGUCUUAACCAUAAACUAUGCCGACUAGGGAUCGGACGGUGUUGCUUUUUGACCCGUUCGGCACCUUGCACGAAAGUAC
RNAcentral lists this ribosomal RNA (990 nucleotides) under Raffaelea arxii. RNAcentral describes it as "SSU rRNA". It matches the Rfam family "Eukaryotic small subunit ribosomal RNA", at positions 101 to 1101 of the family's 1831-position model. The record is from RNAcentral. Lineage: Eukaryota; Fungi; Ascomycota; Sordariomycetes; Ophiostomatales; Ophiostomataceae.